CUAGUCGCGUGAUGUUAGUGCGAGCCGGGUACGCGCCCGGCAUCUAGUUUGUUCCUGAUCGUCGGCGGGUAGGCGCGUGUACCUCGUGGCUAGCCAUGUUUCUUGAGUAUUUAAUUCAGUGUGUGUUAUAUUUGAUCGACAUUUGCUAGCAGAAUAUUGGUGAAAUGCAAGUCAAUUCUCGUAUUGCCCAUAUGGAUAUCGUCAGUGAUCAACUGAGGAAUUUUGCACUUGAGUCUGACAUCGUAGAACCACCAUUCUUUCAUUUGAUUGACUUAUUUCUGCUGGUUUUAAGGAUUUUGCACCUGAGUCUGACAUUGUACAAGGACCAUUUUUGCAUUAGAUUAAAUUGACCCACAAAAUGGCAUUUUUAUGUUUGAAGGACCAAUUUUUGCUGGUUUUAAGGAUUUUGCACCUGAGUCUGACUUUGUAGAAGGACCAUUUUUACAUCAUGUUUUAUUUUGAAGGACCAAUUUUUGAAGGUUUUAAGGAUUAUGCACCUGAGUCUGACACCCUAGAAGGACCAAUUUUACAUUAUGUUGACCAAUUUCUGCUGGUAUUAAGGAUUUUGCACCUGAGUCUGACUUCGUAGAAGAACCAUUUUUGCAUCAUAUUGACCAAUUUCUGCUGGUUUUAAAGAUUUUUCACCUGAAUCUAACGACGUAGAAGGACCAUUUCAUCAUCAGAUUGACCAAUUUUUGAAGGUUUUAAGGAUUUUGCACCUGAGUCUUACAUCGUAGAAAGACCAUUUUUGCAUCAUAUUGACCAAUUUUUAAAGGUUUUAAGGAUUUUGCACCUGAGUAUGACAUCGUAUAAGGACCAGUCUAUCAUCAGAUUGACCAAUUUUUAAAGGUUUUAAGGAUUUUGCACCUGAGUAUGUCAUCGUAUAAGGACCAUUCUAUUAUCAGAUUGGAUUUUGCACCUGAGUCUGACAUCGUUGAAGGACCAUUCUUGCAUCAGAUUUAUAAAUAAACAACGUCGGUGGCUGUAGAAGAAGUUUAGGAGCACUUGGGCCAAGGAGUCUACCGCUUCCGCCGCAGAAAUGUUAGAGAUGUGCGUAUUACAAGGCAAGUUUUGCUUUCAGGAGAUUUAAGAGCUGUCUAUGAUUUCCGAUUUUAAAAACCUGUAUGUAGUUUUUAAUGUUGCUAGUAAAACAAAAUGUAAUAUUA
Dalotia coriaria is the source of this 1166-nucleotide long non-coding RNA. RefSeq lists it as uncharacterized. The record is from RefSeq and is a predicted model, not a curated record. The transcript is spliced from 12 exons. NCBI's taxonomy places the organism in Eukaryota, Metazoa, Arthropoda, Insecta, Coleoptera, Staphylinidae.